Small nucleolar RNA from Pteronotus mesoamericanus, 104 nucleotides. RefSeq annotates it as small nucleolar RNA U13. The record is from RefSeq and is a predicted model, not a curated record. The transcript has a single exon. NCBI's taxonomy places the organism in Eukaryota, Metazoa, Chordata, Mammalia, Chiroptera, Mormoopidae.
AUUCUUUUGUAGUUCACAAGGGUGAUGACUGAGUGUUCACACUCUUAUGUGAGAUGUGCCUCCCCCAAACCUUGUUAGGACGUCAGCACAUUACCCAUCUGACG